This 79-nucleotide microRNA precursor is filed under the name Myotis lucifugus (little brown bat). Its description in RNAcentral is "mir-9193 microRNA precursor family". It matches the Rfam family "mir-9193 microRNA precursor family". Lineage: Eukaryota; Metazoa; Chordata; Mammalia; Chiroptera; Vespertilionidae. The record is from Rfam by way of RNAcentral.
CUCGGGGCGGGGGGGAGAGAUCCCUCAGCCCAGAUUGCAAGAGGGUGCAGGUCAGGCAGAGGGACCCCAUAGGUGCAGG